RNAcentral lists this unclassified non-coding RNA (335 nucleotides) under soil metagenome. RNAcentral's name for it is "partial contains 5.8S ribosomal RNA, internal transcribed spacer 2, and large subunit ribosomal RNA". The stretch from base 1 to 120 matches the Rfam family "5.8S ribosomal RNA", at positions 35 to 154 of the family's 154-position model. The record is from RNAcentral.
GAUGAAGAACGCAGCGAAAUGCGAUAAGUAAUGUGAAUUGCAGAAUCCAGUGAAUCAUCGAAUCUUUGAACGCACAUUGCGCCCGCCAGUAUUCUGGCGGGCAUGCCUGUCCGAGCGUCAUUUCAACCAUCAAGCCCCAGGCUUGUGUUGGGGACCUGCGUCCGACGCAGGCCCUGAAAACCAGUGGCGGGCUCGCUGUCCACACCGAGCGUAGUAGCUAACACCUCGCAACUGGAGAGCGGCGCGGCCACGCCGUAAAACACCCAACUUCUGAAUGUUGACCUCGAAUCAGGUAGGAAUACCCGCUGAACUUAAGCAUAUCAAUAAGCGGAGGA